Molecule: long non-coding RNA, 5249 nt
Organism: Pan troglodytes (chimpanzee)
Lineage: Eukaryota; Metazoa; Chordata; Mammalia; Primates; Hominidae
Exons: 5
Source: RefSeq, a predicted model, not a curated record
AAAUGAAAAAUGCUGACGCUGCUUCUGUUGGCAUUGCUUUAUAAUUACGGCCAUCAAUAAAUCAUUUUAUCCUUGAACAAGACUUGAGAUUGGCCCGAAGGCAGAGGCAUGAUUCGUUAGGAAUUAGGCCAACAGAGAAUGGGUUCUCUCUCUUCCCACCUCUUCUCUUACUCUGCUGUCAGAAACAGAAAGGUUCUCUGUGAGUAGCUGGGAGCAGACGGCCGCACUUGAGUUCCAUCAGGGGGUUCUGUUGAUACAGUUUUACCCCAGCCUGCCUUGAUGGCCACUGCCACACAAGCUGCACCUGUUCUUUCUUCUGCACCUUUUGUUACUUCAUUGUUUUUCCUCUUUCUAGUGUAGUGAGCUGAAUGGUGACUUUGCACAAGAUAUAUCCAGAUCCUUGUGCCUAGAAUCCGUGGAGGUGGCAUUAUUUGGAAAAAGGGUCUUUGCAGAUGUAAUUAAGUUAAGGAUCUUGAGAUGAGAUUAUCCUGGAGUAUUUUAGGUAGGCUGUACAUCUAAUGACAAGUGUCCUUAUAAGAGGACACUUUCAUCGGGUCACAGUGGCUCAUGCCUGUAAUCCCAGCACUUUGGUAGGCCGAGGCGGGUGGAUCAUCUGAGGUCAGGACUUUGAGACCAGCCUGACCAACAUGGAGAAACCCAAUCUCUACUAAAAAUACAAAAUUAGCCGGGCAUGGUGGCGCGUGCCUGCAAUCCCAGCUACUGGGGAGGCUGAGGCAGGAGAGUUGCUUGAACCCAGGAGGAGGAGGUGGCAGUGAGCUGAGAUCAUGCCAUUGCACUCCAGCCUGGGCAACAAGAGUGAAACUCCAUCUCAAAAAAAAAAAAAAAAAAGAAGGACACUCUUUUUCACGUGCAUCCGUGUGAAGAGACCACCAAACAGGCUUUGUGUGAGCAAUAAAGCUGUGUAUUUCACCUGGGUGCAGGCAGGCUGAGCCCAAAAAGAGUCAGCGAAGGGAGAUGGGGUGGGGCUGUUUUAUAGGAUUUGCGUAGGCAAAGGAAAAAGGGGUUGUUCUCUGGCAGGCAGGAGUGGGGGUCACAAGGUACUCAGUAGGGGAGCUUUUGAGCCAGGAUGAGCCAGGAUAAGGAAUUUCACAAGAUAAUGUCAUCAGUUAAGGCAGGAACACGCCAUUUUCAUUUAUUUUGUGGUAGAAUGUCAUCAGUUAAGGCAGGAACCGGUCAUCUGGAUGUGUACGUGCAGGUCACAAGGGAUAUGAUGGCUUAGCUUGGUCUCAGAGGCUUGACGUUCCUGUCUUCUUAUAUUAAUAAGAAAAAUAAAACGAAAUAGUGGUAAAGUGUUGGGACGGCGAAAAUUUUUGGGGAUAGUAUAGAGAGAGAAUGGGCGAUGUUUCUCAGGGCUGCUUUCAGCAGGAUUAGGGGCAGCAUGGGAACCUAGAGUGAGAGAGAUUAAGCUGAAGGAAGAUUUUGUGGUAAGGGGUGAUAUUGUUGGGUUGUUAGAAGAAAUAUUUGUCAUUUAGAAUAAUUGGUGAUGGCUUGGAUACAGUUUUGUAUGAAUUGAAAAACUAAACAGAAUAAGAGAAGGAGAAAAACAGGUAUUAAAGGACUAAGAAUUGGGAGGACCUAGGACAUCUAAUUAGAGAGUGCCUAAGGAGGUUCAGCAUAGCCUUGCCAGCAAAGAUUAUGUAUUUAAGAGUUAAGAGUGGAGGUUUGGGGAUAGCAACAGUAGAUAUCAGCUGUGAUGGCUUGAAGAAACAGUGUAAACCAGCAGUGUAAACAAGAGCAGGACAUGUAUGAGUUGUUGAGAACGAUGAAUAGGAGUAUGACUAGAUAGAAGAUAGUAGGGAUGACAAGUUUUUUGGGCCACAGUCCAAGUUGGUCUGGUGUCUGCAAUGAGAGUGGGGCCUAAUAAAAAGGAGCGUCUAUACAGGAGCUCAAAUGUGCUGUACCUUGUAGCAUUCCAAGGACAGGCCUGACUUCUGAGAAGGGAAAGUGGUAAAAGUAUUGUCCAGUCCUUUUUUAGUUGGUGGCUGAGCUUGGUGAGGUGUGUUUUUAAAAGACCAUUAGUCUGUUCUACCUUUCCUGAAGACUGAGGACUGUAAAGGAUAUAAAGGUUUCACUGAAUACUAAGAGCCUGAAACAAUGUUUGGCUGAUUUGACUAAUAAAGGCGAGUCUACUAUUGGACUGUAUAGAGGUGGGAAGGCCAAACUGAGGAAUUAUGUCUGACAGAAGGGAAGAAAUGACCGUGGUGGCCUUCUUAGACCCUGUGGGAAAGGACUCUACCUAUCCAGUGAAAGUGUCUACCUAGACCAGAAGGUAUUUUAGUUUCCUGAAUCGGGGCACGUUGAGUAAAGCUAAUAUGUCAGUCCUGGGUGGGGGCAAAUCCCUGAGCUUGAUGUGUAGGGAAGGGAGGGGGCCUGAAUAAUCCCUGAGGAGUAGUAGAAUAGCAGAUGGAACACUGAGAAGUUAUUUCUUUGAGGAUAGAUUUCCACAAUGGAAAGGAAAUAAGAGUUUCUAAGAGGCGGGCUAGUGGCUUGUACUAUAGCAUAGCUUGCCUUUGCUGGUGUGUGGCGAGUAGGCCUGGUGGAACUGCCAUCAAUAAACUAAGUGUGAUCAGGGUGAGAAACAGGGUAGAAGGAAAUGUGGGGAAAUGGCAAGAAUGUCAGCUGGAUCAGAGAGAUACAGUCAUGAGGGUCAGGUGUGGUAUCAGGAAUAAUGUGGGAGGCCAGAUUGAAGUCCGGGCCAGGAACAAUGGUACUUAUGGGAGACUUAACAAAGAGUGAGUACAGCUGAAGGAGCCGGGGAGCAGAAAGUAUAUGCAUUAGGUGUGAGGAAGAAAAUAGAUUUUGGAAAUUAUGAGAACUGUAGAGAGUGAAUUGAGCAUGGUUUGUGAUUUUAAGGGCCUCUAAAAGUAUUAGGGCAGCAGCAGCCACUGCACGGAGACAUAAUGGCCAGCCUAAAACAGUAAGGUCAAGUUGUUUGGACAAAAAGGUUACAGGAGGCAAUCGUGGUCCUUGUGUAAGAAUUUCUACUGCACAGCGCUGCACUUCGGUUGUGUGUAAUGAAGAGGGUGGGGAUGAGUCAGGGAGAGCUAGGGUGGGGGCAGUCUUUAAAGCUGUCUUCAAGGAACAGAAAGAGGAGUGGGGAAAGGAUUUAAGAUCUAUGGGGUCAGCUAGGUUUCCUUUUUUGAGUUUAUAUAAUGGUUUUGUUAGGAUGGCAAAACUAGGUAUCUAAAGGCAAAAGUAUCCAACCAUGCCCAGGAAGGAAAGGAGUUGUUUUGUAGCUGGGGUUGGGGUUUGAGAGAUUAGUCGGACACGAUUGGCAGGGAGAGCACGUGUGUUCUUAUGAGAAUUAUGCUGAGAUAGGUAACAGAUAAGGGACAAAUUUGGGAUUGACUGAAGUAAUGGGGCUGUCUGUGAAGCUUUGCGUCAGUACAGCCCAGGUAAUUUGCUGAGCCUGAUGGGUGUCAGGGUCAGUCCAAGUGAAAGCGAAGAGAGGCUGGGAUGAAGGGUGCAAAGGAAUAGUAAAGAAAGCAUACUUGAGAUCCAGAACAGAAUAAUGGGUUGUGGAAGGAGGAAUUGAGGAUAGGAGAGUAUAUGCGUUUGGCACCAUGGGGUGGAGAGGCAAAACAAUUUGGUUGAUAAGGCAUAGAUCCUGAACUAACUUGUAAGGCUUGUCUGGUUUUAGGACAGGUAAGGUGGGGGAAUUGUAAGGAGAGUUUAUAGGCUUUAAAAGGCCAUGCUGUAGCAGGCGAGUGAUAACAGGCUUUAAUCCUUUCAAAGCAUGCUGUGGGAUGUGAUAUUGGCAUUGAGAGGGGUAAGGGUGAUUAGGUUUUAAUGAGAUGGUAAGGGGUGCAUGAUCGCUCGCCAAGGAGGGAGUAGAGGUAUCUCCUACUUGUGGGUUAAGGUGGGUGGCAAUGAGAUGUAGCUAUAGUCUAGGAAUAGUCAGGGAAGCAGAUAAUUUAGUUAAAGUGUCUCAGCCUAAUAAGGGAACUGGGCAGGUGGGGACAACUAAAAAGGAGUGCUUAAAAGAGUAUUGUCUAAGUUGGCACCAGAGUUGGGGAGUUUUAAGAGGUUUAGAAGCCUGGCCGUCAAUACCCACAACAGUUAUGGAGGCAAGGGAAACAGGUCCUUGAAAAGAAGGUAAUGUGGAGUGGGUAGCCUCCGUAUUGAUUAAGAAGGGGACGGACUUACCCUCCACUGUGAGAGUUACCUAGAGCUUCUGUGAUGGUCCUGUAGGCUUCCGAAGUGAUCGAUCAGGCAUUGUCAGUCUUCAGCUGCUAAGCCAAGAAGAUCUGGGAAGGAGUCAGUCAGAGGACCUUGGGCCAGAGUUCCAGGGGCUCUGGGAGUGGCUGCCAGUUCUACAGGGCCUGGAGCUGAUACGAAAAACCUCCCUUCUUUCCCAAAUGGUCCCCAGCUUCCCCGUUCACUGAAGGCCCUGCAGUCGGGAACAGUCAGGACUUUGCACCCAGUAGUUUUGGGUGUUUGGCCGACCCUUCCUCUUGUGUGAUUCAUGGACCCGCAGCAUUGCAUCACCUGUGAGCUUUUGGAAUUGAAGACUCUCAGGGCUCACCCGGGAGGACCUGCUGGGCCAGUAUCUGCAUUUUAACAAGAUACCCAGGAAAGAAUGUGCUGGAGAAAAACAGAGAUUCCCCCUGGCCUGGAGCUUCACAAGCUUAGCCCCUUCCAGGAGCCACAGAGGAGUUGGGGCAUCGGGAAAGUCUUGGAGGAUACAAGAUUUGCCUAUUCUGGACCUUUGACAUAAAUGGAAUCAUGUAAUAUAUAUAAUAACCAAAAGGUAGCAACAACCAAGCUGGCCAUUUGGUUGAUGAAUGAAUAAACAAAAUGUGCUGUAUCCAUACAGUGGAAGUAUUGACAUACAUAGAAAUCAGACCACUACUUCUGCAGAACAUUUUACUGGUAAAAAGAACAGCCCACAUGAGGAAAACUGAUUUGGUGGAAAGACAACAAAAACAAAACAUGGGAAAUAGGUAAGGUGAUAACAUGGGGGAGAGGUUUUGCUUGUGUUUCACCAGGAGAAAAUCAGCUUCCUGUUUGGAUACCCACUAGACAUUUGAAGUUCUACAAUGAACCCAUCAGAGAUGCAAAUGAAAGUGCCUCCGCAGAGACAGAAAACCCGCAAUCGAGCAUCAUCGACUCGCAGGGUGAACAAAAUGGUGAUAUCAGAAGAACAGAUGACGUUGCCAACCACCAAGAAAACGGCACAUGUGGAGAGCCAGGGAGAGGAAGAGAAAGAAAAAGAGACAGAGAUCAGA